Molecule: ribosomal RNA, 496 nt
Filed under: uncultured bacterium
Lineage: Bacteria
Description: partial 16S ribosomal RNA
Rfam family: Bacterial small subunit ribosomal RNA
Source: RNAcentral
GAUGAACGCUGGCGGCGUGCCUAAUACAUGCAAGUCGAGCGAACAGACGAGGAGCUUGCUCCUCUGACGUUAGCGGCGGACGGGUGAGUAACACGUGGAUAACCUACCUAUAAGACUGGGAUAACUUCGGGAAACCGGAGCUAAUACCGGAUAAUAUAUUUAACCGCAUGGUUCAAUAGUGAAAGACGGUUUUGCUGUCACUUAUAGAUGGAUCCGCGCCGCAUUAGCUAGUUGGUAAGGUAACGGCUUACCAAGGCAACGAUGCGUAGCCGACCUGAGAGGGUGAUCGGCCACACUGGAACUGAGACACGGUCCAGAAUCCUACGGGAGGCAGCAGUAGGGAAUCUUCCGCAAUGGGCGAAAGCCUGACGGAGCAACGCCGCGUGAGUGAUGAAGGUCUUCGGAUCGUAAAACUCUGUUAUUAGGGAAGAACAAAUGUGUAAGUAACUAUGCACGUCUUGACGGUACCUAAUCAGAAAGCCACGGCUAACUACGU